GUGGCCUUCGUCAGGAUUGUCCUUCAUCAUCCUUUCUCUUUAUCCUUUGGUCAGAAAUAUUUUAACUAUCUUUGCAAGCUACAGUGCAGUCUAAGCUACUUCAUUCUUUUGUUCCUGGCAUCAAAGGUCUACAAAGCUCCCAUCUUUUCUUGCUGACGAUUGUAUUUUUAUUACAAGAGCUGCUGUUAGGGAUGCAUUAUGCCU
This 204-nucleotide long non-coding RNA is filed under the name Elaeis guineensis (African oil palm). Its description in RNAcentral is "long non-coding RNA (EGUI_LNC007832)". The record is from RNAcentral. Lineage: Eukaryota; Viridiplantae; Streptophyta; Magnoliopsida; Arecales; Arecaceae.